UACGGAGGGGGCGAGCGUUAUUCGGAAUUAUUGGGCGUAAAGGGCGCGUAGGCGGCCCGGUAAGUCAAAGGUGAAAUCCCUCGGCUCAACUGAGGAACUGCCUUUGAAACUGUCGGGCUUGAGGCCGGGAGGGGGUGGCGGAAUUCCCAGUGUAGCGGUGAAAUGCGUAGAUAUUGGGAGGAACACCAGUGGCGAAGGCGGCCACCUGGACCGGUUCUGACGCUGAUGCGCGAAAGCGUGGGUAGCAAAC
This 250-nucleotide ribosomal RNA is filed under the name uncultured bacterium. RNAcentral's name for it is "partial 16S ribosomal RNA". It matches the Rfam family "Bacterial small subunit ribosomal RNA", at positions 524 to 773 of the family's 1533-position model. The record is from RNAcentral.